RNAcentral lists this unclassified non-coding RNA (209 nucleotides) under soil metagenome. RNAcentral's name for it is "partial contains 5.8S ribosomal RNA, internal transcribed spacer 2, and large subunit ribosomal RNA". The record is from RNAcentral.
AACCUAGCACACCUGCGGUGUGUACCUGCGGAGGGAUCAUUACCGAGUUUACAACUCCCAACCCCCUGUGAACAUACCACUUGUUGCCUCGGCGGAUCAGCCCGCUCCCGGUAAAACGGGACGGCCCGCCAGAGGACCCCUAAACUCUGUUUCUAUAUGUAACUUCUGAGUAAAACCAUAAAUAAAUCAAAACUUUUAACAAUGGAUCU